This 2972-nucleotide long non-coding RNA is filed under the name Acyrthosiphon pisum (pea aphid). RNAcentral's name for it is "uncharacterized LOC103308354, transcript variant X2". Lineage: Eukaryota; Metazoa; Arthropoda; Insecta; Hemiptera; Aphididae. The record is from RNAcentral.
UUUAGCCCAAAACAAUGCAUUCACAAAACAUUAUUCUUAGAUCAAUAAAUUAUCUUGAAAUGAUUGCAUUUUUUUAGAAAUGUCUUUAUUUUUUUAUAAAGUUGUUGAUCUUUGUUAAAUUACAGGUGAAUAUUCAAGGUAUCCCUCCUUCCCCCAGAAACCAACAAAGAUUUAUUUUCCACCAUAUAAGAUGCUGAAGUUGAAAAUUGGAGCAUUUUACUACCCCAAAAGGCGAUGACAGACAGAAAAUAAAACAACGCAUCAUUGUAAAAUCAAUUAAUUCCAACACUCCGCUCAGAAUCUAAAAUCGACACACACGAUAAAUUAUCCCAGUCCACUGCCUAUAUGUUACGGCAAUCAACACUAUCGCCUAGGUGGCGUGUCUUGGCGAUUUCUACGACUGGAAAUAACAGCGUCGCGUUUUAAAAAUCAACACAGACUACCCGCGGGCCGAGACUACACGUCGACAACACUACCUAUCGUCGGCGGACAACAAACGUGCAGACUUACCGAUCAGCAGGCUGUGGCGCGGCAGACGAUUCCGUCACACGUUCAUGGCAUCGAGGUGGCAGCCCCCGGUCGUUGGGUCUUCAGGUCUGCGCAAGCACACACAUAGAGACAGAGACACAAAUAGGAUUGGAAAUUGUCGUCUAGAUUGAACUUUGAAGAGGCCAAUUUUAAAUGUUUCAAUAAUUUCCAAUGAAUAUAAUAUACAGAAGACUGCAAGAAGACUGCAAACACAAAAUUAGUUUCCCCGUGGAGCGUAAUGAAAAACGACUGACAACCGAAGAUAAUUUUAAGAAAAACGCCAUCAAGCGUGAUGGUUUUUAUCGAGCUCGGAUCAAAAUCGAUACGUUGAACAGGAUAACAAAUUUAUCCGAUCACGUAGGAGUAUCGCCGAUGUUUGCCUACAAUACACAUGAGUACAUAACGCACACACACACACACACACAUUGUGCUGGAAUUAUGUCGUGCUACUACGUAUAUGGUCCUACAGCAGAUUAACAACUUAGGUAUAGACGAAGAGCAGCAAUCGAUGGCGGGUACUCACGUGAUGAGCAAGAAGGACAUUUUCCAUUUAACCGUUCGACAAAUAUAGUAUAUAAGUUAAUGUUUUAUAUGGUUUUACAUUAUUAUGUUUUUACUGUUUUUAUUUGUUUUGUGUUUUUAUAACUUAUAUGUAUAAAUUAUUAUGACUCGGGAACAAUAUUACCAUUUUAGGAAACCCGCACUAUUUUGAACGUAUAGGUAUAAACUAUACGUCACCGAAGUCCCACCCGGUGAAAGUUCGACUUUCCGCAAACUUUUCGACAAACUGCGGGUAAAGCAGGAAUUUUACAAAGAGCUGAUCAAAAAUGUACAGGAAUUAUUGAGUAGUAUACUAGGCGUCGUUCAUAACCGCACACUUUCAAAAAAAAAAGGUCACCACCUGCACCUCGCAGCAGUGGGCAUGACGCGUAAAGCUCUGCAAACACAAAAAGAAAAUUUCUCAUAUUCCGAAGCCACAGCGAACACACCACCAUCCGAUCAACCUCUGCAAAUCGUCACCAAUUUCCUUAACGAGUUACUAAACCCCCUCCUAGCUGUUCUAACAUCCUUGAUAACCAAAAUCCCACUCCCCAUCACUUACACUCCUUAAUAAAUUAUCGCACGUUUCAAUAAUAACGAAAUUAGUUUAAUUGAUUAAUGAUUAUUUACAAACAUUAGAGUGUACAUUUAUUUCAAUUUAAUUAUAUAUUGAAUUAUUUUUAAUUAUUUUUUUAAUAACAUUAAAAUAUGUUUAAUUUUCAACUGUCAAUCAAAUGUGUGCGGUUUUGAACUGUCGACCUUUCAAAUUUCUCUUUUUAACAAUAGAACAAAUGUGUGCGAUAUUGAACGGUGUAAAAUGUGUGGUUAUGAACGGUAAGUGUGUGGUUAUGAUGACGACCGCCGAGUAUAUACUCAAUUAGUAUACUACUUAAAAUAUUAUCAAGCAACAAAUUUCGCAAAAUUCUAGGUUUUAAUAAUGUAGACUCUAGUAAAAUCAAAAUGUCUUAUGUGAGAGCACAUAUGCCAUGGGGCGUACAGGUGAAAUAUAAUCUAAAAUAUCCUUUAGGAAAUAUUUUGUUGACUAUUUAGUAAUUAGGUUAGUGCAGUACUUAAAUGAAACGCUAACGUUAUAUAUAAAAAAAAAAUGUAUUGUGGCUUAUUAAAUGGGGAAAAGAGUAGUUUAUAAUUGGCUUUUUUUUAAUUAACAACUUCCUAGUAAGCGUUUGCAUUAUUGAUGUUGUUAGUUUUGUUUUAUUUUGUCCAUUGAUGGUUUUAUAUAAUAUUAAAAAAUUAAAUUAUUUCAAUUAUGGUUCACAUAAUUUAUUCGAAAUUGUUAAAAUAUAUGUUAUUCGAAUAAUUGAAUGGGUAUACUGCUUACUACUACUGCUUACUACUUACUGUUCUUUGUACUGUCAAUCUAACAUAUUUGUAAUGUAAAUAAUAUUAUGUAAUAUUAUAUUUUUAUAAGUCAUUUUUUUUUUUUGCUAAAAAAUAUAAAUAAAUAUAAUUAAUAGAAAAGUUAUACGGGUUAUCGAGCUAUGAAAGUAUAUCAUUAAUAAAAUGAUAUAACUGUAUACAUUAUUGUCAAUCGUUAACCAUCCUCUAACUCUAUAUUUUUAUAUAAUUAAUAGCCAAUAGGCAGUGUUGAGACUUAUCUAGAUAAAUUUAUUUAAAUCAUAAUAUUAAUUAUUCACGAAUUAUUCAUUAAUUAUUCAUUUUUUUCACUAAAAUUGUUCUUACAGAACACUAUCCAAUUGACAAUCAGUACAUGUUAUUAAUAUGAUAUUAUACUCAUAAUAUUACCAUAUUCCCAUGUUUUACCAGCAAAUUUUAAGUUGAUACGUACUUUGAAGAUUGAGACAUUAUUUUACGAAGUUUUUCGACAAAAUAAAUUGUGUGCCUAAUUGCACAUUUGCAAUUUAAAAAUACUAAAAAAAAAAUGU